GUAGUAGAUGCAGUGUUUGUGUGUGUGUGUGUGUGUGUGUGUGUAUAUAUCUCUCUCACACACACACACACACACACACACACAAUUUGUGUUUG
Pelobates cultripes (western spadefoot toad) is the source of this 95-nucleotide non-coding RNA. Lineage: Eukaryota; Metazoa; Chordata; Amphibia; Anura; Pelobatidae. The record is from the annotation of a GenBank genome assembly.